This is a transfer RNA of Methanohalobium evestigatum Z-7303, 74 nucleotides long. It matches the Rfam family "tRNA". From Rfam's summary of the family: Transfer RNA (tRNA) molecules are approximately 80 nucleotides in length. The record is from Rfam. Lineage: Archaea; Methanobacteriati; Methanobacteriota; Methanomicrobia; Methanosarcinales; Methanosarcinaceae.
GCCUCGGUAGCUCAGCCCGGAGGAGCGAGUGAUUUGUAAUCACUAGGCCGCGAGUUCGAAUCUCGCCCGGGGCU